RNAcentral lists this unclassified non-coding RNA (335 nucleotides) under soil metagenome. RNAcentral describes it as "partial contains 5.8S ribosomal RNA, internal transcribed spacer 2, and large subunit ribosomal RNA". The stretch from base 1 to 120 matches the Rfam family "5.8S ribosomal RNA", at positions 35 to 154 of the family's 154-position model. The record is from RNAcentral.
GAUGAAGAACGUAGCGAAAUGCGAUAAGUAAUGUGAAUUGCAGAAUUCAGUGAAUCAUCGAAUCUUUGAACGCACAUUGCGCCCGCCAGUAUUCUGGCGGGCAUGCCUGUUCGAGCGUCAUUUCAACCAUCAAGCCCCCGGCUUGUGUUGGGGACCUGCGGCUGCCGCAGGCCCUUAAAAGCAGUGGCGGGCUCGCUGUCACACCGAGCGUAGUAGCAUACAUCUCGCUCUGGGCGUGCUGCGGGUUCCGGCCGUUAAACCACCUUCAUAACCCAAGGUUGACCUCGGAUCAGGUAGGAAGACCCGCUGAACUUAAGCAUAUCAAUAAGCGGAGG